UGAAUACUUUGAUUGAUUUGA
This is a non-coding RNA of Caenorhabditis elegans, 21 nucleotides long. Lineage: Eukaryota; Metazoa; Nematoda; Chromadorea; Rhabditida; Rhabditidae. The record is from Ensembl.